ACCAGCUCUGCUUUCAACAGCUUCAUCACUGCGAUGGAUUAUUUAAUUUUGGUACACUUUCCCCACAAAUAUGCUUUGUUGUACUUUUGGAUGUACUUCUCCGUAUUCUGUAAGGACCUCUGCGGUUUUGGCAAAACAACAAACCACACUUCACCUGGAAAACACAGCCAGGACUCACUGUCAGAUGUCUGAAAAUUUACAGUACACGCCAGCAGGUCUCACCAUAGUCAACAUCAUUAAGGAUUUGGCUCUCUGACCUGAGAAGAGGCCCCAUAAACACACCUGACAAGGACCAGCCACUGUUGCCAGUGCACAACUGAGGACCUGACCAGCCUGCUGCCAUCUAUGAUACUAUAUAGUACCCGCGGAGGUGUCUGAAGACGUGGAGUACACUGCAGCAGGUAUCACAUGACCAAGGACUUGGACAACGUCUCUGUUUACAUCUAUAGUGUAUUACACAACUGAAGAUGUGCACAGUACGCUGCUGCCUGCAUCCUACCACCACAGAGGAUC
This is a long non-coding RNA of Engraulis encrasicolus (European anchovy), 513 nucleotides long. RefSeq lists it as uncharacterized. Lineage: Eukaryota; Metazoa; Chordata; Actinopteri; Clupeiformes; Engraulidae. The record is from RefSeq and is a predicted model, not a curated record. The transcript has 5 exons.